RNAcentral lists this ribosomal RNA (1420 nucleotides) under Lactiplantibacillus plantarum. RNAcentral's name for it is "bacterial SSU rRNA". It matches the Rfam family "Bacterial small subunit ribosomal RNA". The record is from RNAcentral. Lineage: Bacteria; Bacillati; Bacillota; Bacilli; Lactobacillales; Lactobacillaceae.
GUCGAACGAACUCUGGUAUUGAUUGGUGCUUGCAUCAUGAUUUACAUUUGAGUGAGUGGCGAACUGGUGAGUAACACGUGGGAAACCUGCCCAGAAGCGGGGGAUAACACCUGGAAACAGAUGCUAAUACCGCAUAACAACUUGGACCGCAUGGUCCGAGCUUGAAAGAUGGCUUCGGCUAUCACUUUUGGAUGGUCCCGCGGCGUAUUAGCUAGAUGGUGGGGUAACGGCUCACCAUGGCAAUGAUACGUAGCCGACCUGAGAGGGUAAUCGGCCACAUUGGGACUGAGACACGGCCCAAACUCCUACGGGAGGCAGCAGUAGGGAAUCUUCCACAAUGGACGAAAGUCUGAUGGAGCAACGCCGCGUGAGUGAAGAAGGGUUUCGGCUCGUAAAACUCUGUUGUUAAAGAAGAACAUAUCUGAGAGUAACUGUUCAGGUAUUGACGGUAUUUAACCAGAAAGCCACGGCUAACUACGUGCCAGCAGCCGCGGUAAUACGUAGGUGGCAAGCGUUGUCCGGAUUUAUUGGGCGUAAAGCGAGCGCAGGCGGUUUUUUAAGUCUGAUGUGAAAGCCUUCGGCUCAACCGAAGAAGUGCAUCGGAAACUGGGAAACUUGAGUGCAGAAGAGGACAGUGGAACUCCAUGUGUAGCGGUGAAAUGCGUAGAUAUAUGGAAGAACACCAGUGGCGAAGGCGGCUGUCUGGUCUGUAACUGACGCUGAGGCUCGAAAGUAUGGGUAGCAAACAGGAUUAGAUACCCUGGUAGUCCAUACCGUAAACGAUGAAUGCUAAGUGUUGGAGGGUUUCCGCCCUUCAGUGCUGCAGCUAACGCAUUAAGCAUUCCGCCUGGGGAGUACGGCCGCAAGGCUGAAACUCAAAGGAAUUGACGGGGGCCCGCACAAGCGGUGGAGCAUGUGGUUUAAUUCGAAGCUACGCGAAGAACCUUACCAGGUCUUGACAUACUAUGCAAAUCUAAGAGAUUAGACGUUCCCUUCGGGGACAUGGAUACAGGUGGUGCAUGGUUGUCGUCAGCUCGUGUCGUGAGAUGUUGGGUUAAGUCCCGCAACGAGCGCAACCCUUAUUAUCAGUUGCCAGCAUUAAGUUGGGCACUCUGGUGAGACUGCCGGUGACAAACCGGAGGAAGGUGGGGAUGACGUCAAAUCAUCAUGCCCCUUAUGACCUGGGCUACACACGUGCUACAAUGGAUGGUACAACGAGUUGCGAACUCGCGAGAGUAAGCUAAUCUCUUAAAGCCAUUCUCAGUUCGGAUUGUAGGCUGCAACUCGCCUACAUGAAGUCGGAAUCGCUAGUAAUCGCGGAUCAGCAUGCCGCGGUGAAUACGUUCCCGGGCCUUGUACACACCGCCCGUCACACCAUGAGAGUUUGUAACACCCAAAGUCGGUGGGGUAACCUUUUAGA